RNAcentral lists this ribosomal RNA (269 nucleotides) under uncultured prokaryote. RNAcentral describes it as "partial 16S ribosomal RNA". It matches the Rfam family "Bacterial small subunit ribosomal RNA", at positions 524 to 792 of the family's 1533-position model. The record is from RNAcentral.
UACGGAGGAUCCGAGCGUUAUCCGGAUUUAUUGGGUUUAAAGGGUGCGUAGGCGGCUUUUUAAGUCAGCGGUGAAAUUUUGCAGCUUAACUGUAACAGUGCCGUUGAUACUGGGGAGCUAGGAUUUGGUUGCUGUGGGUGGAAUGUGUGGUGUAGCGGUGAAAUGCUUAGAUAUUACACAGAACACCAAUUGCGUAGGCAGCUUACUGAGCCGACACUGACGCUGAGGCACGAAAGCGUGGGGAUCAAACAGGAUUAGAUACCCGCGUA